Molecule: long non-coding RNA, 241 nt
Filed under: Lupinus angustifolius (narrow-leaved blue lupine)
Lineage: Eukaryota; Viridiplantae; Streptophyta; Magnoliopsida; Fabales; Fabaceae
Description: long non-coding RNA (LANG_LNC003441)
Source: RNAcentral
AAAUUGAGAGAGUAGAAAAUAAUUGAUAUUGCGCUCAGUGGUUUAAGGCUUUAAGCACUGAACAGCGAAAGCUUCGGCCUGCUGGGCAUUCCAUUCCAUCAAAGCAAAGAAAUAACUUGUAGAAAAUAAAACCCAAAGACCUCUAUUUACUAAUCUUGUCACGGUCAAGCUGUUCUUCUCCACCACGAAUCUUGCCAUUGACAGAGGAAGCAAUACCACAAGCCCAAGAACAAACAAACAC